GUGAGCUGGUUAACUGUGGUAAGGACUAAGCAGUUCUUGCUGUAAACCUGUGUGGGUCACAGCAGUGACUCCAGGAGAGACUGUUCCAGCUAUGCAGGCAGUACUGUGCAUUCUGCCUUGCUGUUUCUGGGGAGCUGAGGAGCUCUCAUCUGCAGGAGAGCAGGGGCCCUUAAAACUUUGGUGCUGUGGAGAGUUGGGGAUGUUGGUGUUGGAGGAGUCUGCUGGCAUGUCUGUAUAUCUCUUUCCAGGAUUGAAGAGGCCAAAGGUCACUCCACAGAAUUUCUUCAUCCCACAGAAUCCAUUUCUUCACGAGGAAUCAAAUCCAUAGAGAUCUUUGUUCAGGAAUAGAACGGAAAGCAACUGCCAAGACCACAAGCAUGAUCUCUUUGGAAAGUGAGUAGAAGAACAGAGACUGAAGAAAAGUUUCACCAUUUGGUGUCUACAUAGUAGUUCAUGCUCAAUUAAUUUUCUGUUGGCAAAUAGGCAGGCGUAGCAUCUUUACAUAACGUUAUUGACAUUAUUGCCAGCUAAAUUCUAAGGGCAUCUGUAAAGAAAAAUGCUUGUAACUCUUUAAAAUUUGAAUGGUAUGUCCAGAUUGGCUUGCUGAGACAGAAUUUCAAAAAAAGUAUGCAAAUUAAAAGUCAAAUUGCCUGCCAACUGCUGGCACCCUGUUACCUGUGCUGAUACUGCAGGCUCUUUAAGGAUCCUGGCUGCACAAUAGCUGCAGGGAGGUCUGAAGGUGACGUUCUGGGCUAUGACUCUCAGGUAUGCAGUAAGGAAGGCUUUGUGACUGCCAUUUGUAUUCUGGGAGUUGGAGGAAACUUGAGCCUAAUUGCAUGGAAUUGGGAGUUUAUGUAAGUCAUGACUGUUUCAUGGUUCAGAACAAAACCCAGGCAUUUUACUGCUUUGUUUGCUGUGCAAAUGUACCUCCCUACCCUAUGGCUGCACUCCAAAGUGCCAGCACUGGUGAAAUCCUCACUGAUGCAAAGCAGAGAAUUUGUUGCCUUUCGGUAGGAUAGGGGAGAUUUCUCUUCCACAGGCCUUUGAGUAUCUUGUGUAAAUCAAUAAAAUGUCAAGUAUUCUGUUAAAACAUUGAUACAAAAAGGUCUUAUUUUUGCUCAUAUUUCAUUUGAGUGGUUAAGAUUUCCAGAGAACCUACUGGAAUAGCUCCCACUGAAUUCAGUGCGUACAAGAUCGGACUUGCUGGGCUAUUUGUUCCAAGGCAUAGAAUACUUCUGCUUCUUCUGAGGUUUCCUGGUAAGGUGAAUUUUGUUUGACAUAGAAAAAAUGUUUUCCAAUCACAUUUCCAUUUGUAUCUAUUAAUUCGUUACAGCAAACUUCCAAACUAGCCCCUGCUGUUUCCUGACCUUUGACCAAAUGUUCUAAUAGCUUCCUUAUUAACAGUAAGUAGAUGCAGAAUUUCAGAUAGUACUAACUUUGUAACAAGGAUUGUAUUUAAUUUAUUUUUUAUUUUUUCCUUUAUUAUUAUUUUUUUUUCAUCACUGUUCUGAUUCUGCAGGAGUUUGAAAAAAAUAGCACAGAAGAUGACUUGCUGCAUUAAUUAAAAAAAAAAAAGUCAUGACGUCAAUAUGCAACCAAAAAGUUAUUCUUACAGGAGUCUCUAAGUUAUGAAAACAUUUCUAAAAUGUGAAGGUCAAGCCCCCAGGACUGCAGUUUUUGCAGGGGCGAUUGGAUUUGAUCUGUUUUGCUCCAUGUGGUGCUUAGAGCUCAGACCUUCUCAGUAAUGGUUGGACUUUGCAUUCAAGUUCUGAUAAUUUACAUAGGUGCCAGCCUAAAGGUUUAAACAACAUGGGCAUCAAGUUUUCUCAUGCAUCAGUGCAGAAGUAUUGAAUUCAGUAGAGUUUCUCUCAUUUAACUAGAAGGGAAUUUAGUGUUGUUUUUUUUCUAGUUUUAGUGACUUUACUGAGUGGAAAUAACAUCAUGACACUAGAGUUUACCUUUGUCAUUACAAAAUAUGAUUCUUUUUUUCAGUGAUGUUUAAAUAGAUUUAUUUUUUCGCAUUUUACUUAUGCAGACACAGGUCCACUGCCUCACUGGAAUCCAGGAAGGGAAAAGUAGGGUUUUGAAGCACGUAGCUGCUUCUACCCUAAUUCCACGUAGGAGGCCAACUCGAGCUUGAAGUGCAAGGAAAGUCAGAGGGGCUCAGCAGAAACUGUGCCUGUGGUGUGAGUUUUAGCUAGCAGCUCUGAGAAGUGUGUGGGUGCCAGGGUGCCCUCUGCCUUGAUAGGGAGCAGCCUUAUGCAGGGCUUGCUGUGUCAUACGCUCCUACAGCUCCAUGGGCAGGGCAGUGGCAUGUCCUGGAAGAAGAUGAGAGACAAUGUCUUGCUUAGCAUGUGGUAGGAGGGAAUAAAACAGCUGUUUGCUGAUUUUGAAUAGCCUUAUGCUAAGUCAGUGAAAAAAAGAGAGAGUGCAAGAGAGAGGAGAUAGAAAGAAAAAAAAAGUGAAAGAAAGAAAAAGCUUUCUGUCAUGUUGAAAAGGCACUUGGGCAGUGCACUGAUGUUUGUCUUUGCACCUAGCUUUAAGACAGCUCAGACAAAGAAAGAAAAUGCAGCCUGUGCAUGGUUUUAUAGUGGUCAAAGAGAGAUCUGCAUACCACUGCAAAUAAACUUUUGCUUACGAUGAGAACUGAGGGAAGGAAGCAAACAAACAGAGAAAGCAAAUCUCAAGCAGGCAGCCAAAGAAAAGCAAACCACUUCCAUGUAAACACACAUGGAAACUGUGGCUAGUACGUCAUACCAAGCUCAGAGGAAGAGGCAGCAUCUGAGACCUUCAGCAGGUUGAUUCUGUUCACAACAUCUUAUUUCUCUCUUUUUCAGCCACAAUGAGUGUAAUAUUUGGAGGUGGGAGUGCUUGUACCACAGCAGAGUGGAAAUGCUCCAAAGAGGAAUUGAGAAGUAGUGAAGUGGGAAGAUGGAGGGACUUAGCUAGCUCUGGUUAGACUGACCAGAUGUUUGGUUUUUAAGGGGCAGAGGGGAAAGAACCUUCAUGCAUUGUUGUAAGGGAGCAGAAGAGAUGCUGCUGUAUUGAGUAGUGGAGGAGCUUGAGUGGAGAUUCCUGUAUUCUCCUGACAAGAAAUAAUGAAAGGAGGGUAAAAAUGGCUAGUGCUACUGCAUAAUGGGUGAACAUUUUCUGUCUUGCUGGCAAGACAUCUGAAGCUUUUUAUCAGGAUAGGAGUGCUUGCUGUUACAGUGGUCUAGCUAUUUGCAAAGCAACUGUAUUAUCUACUGCCUGAGAAACAUGACAUAAUCAUUCAGCUCCUCUUUUUUUCUGUUUACUCGUCAUAUUUUCUCCUCAUGUCUAUUUCCAGAGUGCUUUCUUACUCUGCCCGUACCUCAGCUGAUGACAUCAAUGGCUCUGCAGACAUAUCCUGUCUCUUCUUUCAUCUCCUUGGUGCUAGCCUGGUUGCUUCUACAAAGUACAAACUUCUUAAGACUUAAACUUCUGCUUUACAGAGAAGGCAGGAAACAAGAGAGUUAUGAUACUGGAAAUGGCCUAUUGUUUCUUCUCUGGCAAACUCCCUCUGGACAGCAGUUCUGGGAAUCAGCUCCUUUUGUGAAGUUGUUGUUGCGAGAUGUAUUGGUGAUAUAUGCCAUGGUGAAUUUGCCAGGCACAGAGAGAGUCCCUUGGGGAAAAGAGCGAAGAAGCACACUAAGCUGUCUCCAGAAGCAAACUUUCAGAAAUGCUCUGCAAAGGUGCCUGAAACUUAAACUUUUUCCCUUGGUAAGGAUGAAAGGCAGGACUUUUGACCCCUACUUCUGACUAGAACGGAAACUUGGGCUUCUGUACUUCAUAGAAGUACAUUUUAUGAUAGAUGAGAGAAAAUGAAGAUCUUUGAGGGAAGGCUAAGAAAAUUCCUCUUCCUUCCAAAACUGCCUUGCAGGAUCAGUGGAAAAUUUCUGUUCAGAACAAGAUCCUUGGCAAGGAUACACCACCACCAGGUGAGAAGCAGAUGCCCUCAAGAUCAGGCAAAGCAUUUCAACAUUCUUCUUCCUGUUUGCUCCAGGUAUAUCUCAACAAAUAAAACUGAGAACCAUCUUGCCUAUCAUCCUGAGCUGCACAUGCUGGUGAUUUCCAAGCAAGAAGAUGCAUACAUAACAGGUCCUAUAAUUAUUUUUGGCCAACAUCCCAUUAGACAUCAGACUUCCUCCACAUUCCCCUGGAUCAGAUACCAGUAUGCUGCCUCUUGCAAUACCUGGAGUCUGCUGCCACAUCUCAGAGCUGCCAGGGUCUGAUCCGGACCUGCUGCUCUCUCCAGAUGAUCUGCUUGUCUCUUAUGUCCAACUUAUGACAGAGUAAGCUUGAAGGUACCUGCAGUUAGUGCAGUCACAGGGUGCUCUUGGUUGGUACUCAUCCAGUGCACUUACAAACAAGGCCUCAAGAUCCUAAAUCUGUGACUUAACUGAAAGCACCCUAAUGCUGGGAUGCUAAGGCUUUUGACAUAGUCUCCUACAACAUCCUUCUCUCCAAAUUGGAAAGAUGUGGGUUUGAUGGGUGGAAUGUUCAAUGGACAAGGAACUGGUUGUGAGAUCAUACCCAGAGGCUGGUGAUCAAUGGUUCAAUAUUGGAUGGGGAUCAGUGACAAGUAGUGUCUCCCAGAGGUCAGUACUGGGACUGGUGCUCUUUAACAUCUUCAUCAGUUACAGUGAUAGUGGCAUCGAGUGCACCUU
This is a non-coding RNA of Meleagris gallopavo (turkey), 4688 nucleotides long. The record is from RefSeq and is a predicted model, not a curated record. Lineage: Eukaryota; Metazoa; Chordata; Aves; Galliformes; Phasianidae.